GAUUGACCUCGGAUCAGGUAGGGAUACCCGCUGAAACUUAAGCAUAUCMAAUAAGCGGAGGAAAAGAAACCAACAGGGAUUGCCUCAGUAAACGGCGAGKUGAAGCGGCAAGAGCUCAAAWUUUGAAAUCUGGSCCCCGCAMCGGGGUCCGAGUUGUAAUUUGGAGAGGAUGCUUCGGGCAAGGCCGCGGCCUAACUCGCUUGGAACAGCGGGUCACAGAGGGUGAGAGUCCCGUCCGGGGUCGUGCGCCGCGCCCAGGUGAAGCUCCUUCGACGAGUCGAGUUGUUUGGGAAUGCAGCUCCAAAUGGGUGGUAAAUUUCAUCUAAAGCUAAAUACCGGCCAGAGACCGAUAGCGCACAAGUAGAGUGAUCGAAAGAUGAAAAGCACUUUGAAAAGAGAGUUAAACAGUAUGUGAAAUUGUUGAAAGGGAAGCGCUUGCCGCCAGACUUGCGGGCGGCGGUUCCCCCGGUCCCGUUGUGUGACCGGGUUACUYCCGUCGCCUCCAGGCCAGCAUCGGUUYCGGGCGGUCGGUGAAAGACCCCGGGAAGGUAUCUACCCUCGGGUYCGACUUAUAGCCCGGGGUGCAAWUGCGRAACCCGCCCGGAMCCGAAGGAACGCGCUCCGGCUCSGGAUGUUGGCGUAAUGGUGGCAAGCGGSCCCGUCUUGAAAMCACGGACCAAGGAGUCUAACAUCUGUGCGAGUGUUCSGGGUGUCAAACCCCGGCGCSGGAAUGAAAGUGAAUGGAGGUAAGAGCCCCCCCGCCGGGGCGCAUUAUCGACCGAUCCGGAAGUCUUCGGAUGGAUUUGAGUAAGAGCACAGCUGUUGGGACCCGAAAGAUGGUGAACUAUGCCUGAAUAGGGUGAAGCCAGAGGAAACUCUGGUGGAGGCUCGCAGCGGUUCUGACGUGCAAAUCGAUCGUCAAUUUGGCAUAGGGGCGAAA
Molecule: ribosomal RNA, 940 nt
Filed under: Hydropunctaria maura
Lineage: Eukaryota; Fungi; Ascomycota; Eurotiomycetes; Verrucariales; Verrucariaceae
Description: eukaryotic LSU rRNA
Rfam family: Eukaryotic large subunit ribosomal RNA
Source: RNAcentral